CCUACGGGAGGCAGCAGUGGGGGAUAUUGCACAAUGGGGGGAACCCUGAUGCAGCGACGCCGCGUGGGUGAAGGAGUGCUUCGGCAUGUAAAGCCCUAUCGGCAGGGAAGAACCAGGAAGUUACCUGACUAAGAAGCCCCGGCUAACUACGUGCCAGCACCCGCGGGAAUACGUAGGGGGCGAGAUUUAUCCUGAUUCACUGGGUGUAAAGGGAGCGUAUACGGCCAUGCAAGCUAGGGGUGAAAGCCCGGGGGCCAAACCCGGGACUGCCCUUGACACUGGAUGGCUGGAGUGCGGGAGAGGCAGGCGGAAUUCCUGGUGUAGCGGUGAAAGGCGGAGAUAUCAGGAGGAACACCAGCGGCGAAGGCGGCCUGCUGGACCGCGACUGACGGUGAGGCACGAAAGCGUGGGGAGCGAACAGGAUUAGAUACCCUUGUAGUC
RNAcentral lists this ribosomal RNA (441 nucleotides) under uncultured bacterium. RNAcentral describes it as "partial 16S ribosomal RNA". It matches the Rfam family "Bacterial small subunit ribosomal RNA", at positions 338 to 795 of the family's 1533-position model. The record is from RNAcentral.